Molecule: long non-coding RNA, 1822 nt
Organism: Monodelphis domestica (gray short-tailed opossum)
Lineage: Eukaryota; Metazoa; Chordata; Mammalia; Didelphimorphia; Didelphidae
Source: Ensembl
AUGGGUCAGCCCUGGGAAAUUAAGAAUUUCCAGCAGUGGGGAUGGUGUGAGCAAGAAGGCAGCCUUGCUUGGGGGUUAGCGAGGAGCCAGACUGGCUGGAAUAGAAGGUGUGGGCUUAGGCCCAUGGCUGCUGGGCCUCCCCUUCGCCCCUCACUCCUGUCAUGUCUGCUUCUCAGUUUCAGAAUUGCAUUUGUAACCUCAUCCCUGAUUUACAACCCUCCUGGGUCCCUUUGGUCCCUUACUGUUGAAUUAGCUGGUCGUUCCCAUGUUCCCACCCCAAUUCCCCUUGGGGCACCAGACAGAUGUCUCUGGGAAGUCUUGUUUCAUUCCAUCCAGUCCAAAGCUUUAACUUCUUCAUCUGCCCAUGAAGUCUGCCCCUACCCUCCCUGCCAAUCCCCGUGCCACCGGCUGAAAUAAGGAGUGGGGCUCCCCCUGCUAUUUCUGAAGCCUUCUCAAAAACAUUCAGGGCCAUCAUCAGCAAGGCUCUUCUAUAGAUAAGGCUGGGCUCAAAAGAGGAGUUUUAAGCCAGUGAUAGGAUGGACUGGGCACUUCCUAGGUGAGUGGGAAGCCACUGUCCACCCCUUCUCAGCUGCUCCUGUCAUUCAUUCCCCAGACCCUCAGCUUUUCCUACCCUGAAACUAUUCCUUUUGCAUUUCCCUCAAGUCCUGUUUAUUUAUCUUAAAAACCCUUACCUUCUGUCUUAGAAUACUGUGUAUUAGCUCCAAGGCAGAACAGUGGUUAGGCAAUGGGGUUAAGUGACUUGCCCAGGGUCACACAUCUAAGAAGUAUCUGAGGUCAUAUUUGAACCCAAGACCUUCCAACUCUAGAUCUAAUACUUUAUUCACUGUGCCACCUAGCUGCUUUAUUCUUUUUGUUCUUUUAAAUUCAGGUCUGUCCUUGAGGAGAGAGGUAAAAAAAUGCCCCUUUCCCCUCAGAAGCAUUGAUCCCUCUCUGGCAUCAUGUAACAUACUAGCUCAAGAACCAUCACGUAUUCACUUUACCUGUAUCUGGAGGGGGGAGGUUGCCUAGAACCCCCUGGCUGGGUUCUUCCCUCUGGGUCUCGGGGGAGGUCCCAGCUUUGGGGCACCAGCUAAGCCCAAUCCCAUCGGGAGCCCUCAGAGCUACUGAAAGGACAGAGGGCUCAGGGCUGGCAAGGGGGUUGCUCCAAAGAGCUUUCCUUGAAAGUAACCCGGGCCAGUUUCUGGGCAUUCAACACAGACUGUGGAAGAGGAGGUUGCUGCUUUUCUCUUUCUUCUUUUUUUUUUUUUUGGCUCCGGGAUCAUUUGGCCCACACUACCUGAACCUAAUCCCAUCAGGAGUCAUCAGAGUCCAGGCAAGCCACAACCCCUCCCCCCUUAGAGAGCAGGGUCUUCUGAAAGAACCAGCUGAACCUAAUCCCAUCAGGAGCCCUCAGAGCUACUGAAAGGACAGAAAACUCAGGGCUGGCAAAGGGGUUGCUCCAAAGAGCUUUCCUUGAAAGUAACUCGGCCAGUUUCUGGGCACUCAACACAGACUGUGGAAGAGGAGGUGGCUGCUUUUUUUUUUCUUCCUUCCCUUUUUUGGCUCUGGGAUCUUUCGGCCCACACCACCUGAACCUAAGCUCAUCAGGAGCCCUCAGAGUCCAGGCAAGCCACAACCCCUCCCCCCUUAGAGAGCUGGGUCUUCUGAAAAAACAGAAACCUAGAGGCGAAGUCAAGAUGGCAGCCUAGAAGGAGCAUAGACCUGGCAGCCUGGCCAGAGCUUUAGAGAUCCUCCAUAUCUGCUCCAGCCGUCCAAGAAGUUUAAAACUCAGAAUAAACCCAGCCCAAAUAAGCUGAACUCA